Coturnix japonica (Japanese quail) is the source of this 904-nucleotide non-coding RNA. NCBI's taxonomy places the organism in Eukaryota, Metazoa, Chordata, Aves, Galliformes, Phasianidae. The record is from RefSeq and is a predicted model, not a curated record.
GGAGCUGAACAAGUCCCUCACUCUGUAUCACAGCAUCUGGCUUCUAACAUCACUGUGACUUGACGUCCCCCAGAACUGGAGAUCUGCAGGGACUCUCAGCAAUGCUCCUCCCCAGGGAAUAUGAGAUGAAACCCAGCUGGCUUAUACUGCUGUGCACCAACUCCAUCACCUCACUGCAGGAGUGUGGAGUUAAAUAAUAAAAUCACAUGCCGACACGUGCCAAAUUUGGGACUAAACUGAUUAUGACUGCUCUUGUGAAGAAACUGAAAAUACAGGACCCAAACUCCUGAGGUGUUGAACAUUUCUGAUGAGGAAUCGGGUACUGUGAUUGCAAAGUGUACUCCAAAGCAGCUGAGACAAUAUUUGACGAAAAAGAGAGAAACAAAUAUGAGCAAAUGGCUAUCAGUUUGAGUGGCUAUGAUGCUAAUGAAAAUCUGGAACGCCAUUGCAAAGUGAAACGUUUGGCAGAAGCAGGAAUAUUUCUGUGCUGUUUAUGAGGUAUAUAAAAAGGUUCAGUAUGCUAAGUGUAGAAUACUCUGUGCAGAAGGAAAUACUUUUCCUUGAGGUAUGAGGUACAGCUCUGUCUGUGGGAAGAAAAAUGGCAUGUACUUGGGAUGGCAGUGAGAAACUGAGGAUGCUUUUAUAGGUAAAUGCAAUUUUGUUUUCAAGUAGUGAAAUUUAAAUAUCUUUUAAGAAAAACAGCCCUCUCUGACCAUGAAGACAUGGAUAGUGACCCUUCUUUCACUUCAGUGCGCUCUGUUCGUGAUUUAGUUUUAUGAAUUUUUGUCUCAUACGGUGAUAACUAAGUCUGUGAGCAUGAAAUAACACCAACCAUUAGGAUUUUUCCUGCACAGAGAAAAAAAAAAAUGUGUAUAAUGGCAUGUCUUGCGUUGUGGUCUGUUAC